Molecule: long non-coding RNA, 790 nt
Organism: Pundamilia nyererei
Lineage: Eukaryota; Metazoa; Chordata; Actinopteri; Cichliformes; Cichlidae
Exons: 4
Source: RefSeq, a predicted model, not a curated record
GUCAGCAAAGCUUAAUUAUUAAAUAUAAGAGUGCUAUGUCGUAUGUCGACUAAAAGAAAAAAUAAAAUCCUUCAGGGACCGCCGGGCAGUCCGUGCUGAUCAGCAUUUGGACCUAUUUAGCGUUCAUGAGUUUCAGCUGCUGAAGUGACACUGGGACGAGAAGAUUCUGAAGAGGGCGACAAGACAUCAAAUAUUGUCGAUGUGUCGAACAAGGACGUGACUGCAAACUGAGGAAUCUUACUGACAGAAAAGCGACGCUGGAAGAGGAAGAGGAGGGAGUGAUGUGAAGGAGCUGUUGCUGCAGCAGAGACCAGGCACACCGCAUGGGGAAACCCGGGAGCUGUCCAGCAGCAAUGGAGAGAACAAUGACAACACGAGUGAAGAUGGAAACGGGGUGACUUAGGAGCUCAGGUGGACUUGACUGCUGCUGCUGGAGCCUUCAGCUGGGCGCCGGUGAGAAAAGGUGACCUACGAUUUGGAUGUAUGCACCGAGGAUCGACUGAAAGAGGGACCGACCGAUCGACCUUCCUUCCUCCCCCUUUCCUCUGUCCUCCCUCACCUUCUCUCUCUCUCUUCUCCAUCUUGAGACAGGUAAUUGCACGGGCUGAAAUGUGUUUGAGGAUGACGUCAAACACAAAUCACCCUUCAAAUUGUGUUUUGCGUAAGGCUCGUAAUGACAGCUCGGUGCAUGUGAGCAAGAGUUGUGUUUGUGUAGGGUCUCGUGCUUCUAGAUUUCUAUCAUUUAUAUGUUAAAGUUAUCAUGGAGCUUUAAGUCAAAUGGAAAAUAAUU